UUCCUACGGGGGGCAGCAGUGGGGAAUAUUGCACAAUGGGCGAAAGCCUGAUGCAGCAACGCCGCGUGAAGGAAGAAGGUCUUCGGAUCGUAAACUUCUGUCCUUGGGGAAGAUAAUGACGGUACCCUUGGAGGAAGCCCCGGCUAACUACGUGCCAGCAGCCGCGGUAAUACGUAGGGGGCAAGCGUUAUCCGGAAUUAUUGAGUUUAAAGGGUGCGCAGGCGGUCUGUUAAGUCAGCGGUCAAAGCCCGGGGCUCAACCCCGGCCCGCCGUUGAAACUGGCAGUCUCGAGUUGGGGAGAAGUA
Molecule: ribosomal RNA, 305 nt
Filed under: uncultured bacterium
Lineage: Bacteria
Description: bacterial SSU rRNA
Rfam family: Bacterial small subunit ribosomal RNA
Source: RNAcentral